AGUGAACGCUGGCGGUAGGCCUAACACAUGCAAGUCGAACGGCAGCACAGUAAGAGCUUGCUCUUACGGGUGGCGAGUGGCGGACGAGUGAGGAAUACAUCGGAAUCUACUUUUUCGUGGGGGAUAACGUAGGGAAACUUACGCUAAUACCGCAUACGACCUACGGGUGAAAGCAGGGGAUCUUCUGACCUUGCGCGAUUGAAUGAGCCGAUGUCGGAUUAGCUAGUUGGCGGGGUAAAGGCCCACCAAGGCGACGAUCCGUAGCUGGUCUGAGAGGAUGAUCAGCCACACUGGAACUGAGACACGGUCCAGACUCCUACGGGAGGCAGCAGUGGGGAAUAUUGGACAAUGGGCGCAAGCCUGAUCCAGCCAUACCGCGUGGGUGAAGAAGGCCUUCGGGUUGUAAAGCCCUUUUGUUGGGAAAGAAAAGCAGCAGGUUAAUACCCCGCUGUUCUGACGGUACCCAAAGAAUAAGCACCGGCUAACUUCGUG
RNAcentral lists this ribosomal RNA (492 nucleotides) under uncultured bacterium. RNAcentral describes it as "partial 16S ribosomal RNA". It matches the Rfam family "Bacterial small subunit ribosomal RNA", at positions 29 to 507 of the family's 1533-position model. The record is from RNAcentral.